RNAcentral lists this ribosomal RNA (273 nucleotides) under uncultured bacterium. RNAcentral's name for it is "partial 16S ribosomal RNA". It matches the Rfam family "Bacterial small subunit ribosomal RNA", at positions 523 to 796 of the family's 1533-position model. The record is from RNAcentral.
AUACGGAUGGUGCGAGCGUUGUUCGGAAUUACUGGGCGUAAAGGGCGCGUAGGCGGCGAUGUAAGUCAAAUGUGAAAGUCCUCGGCUUAACCGGGGAAGUGCAUCUGAAACUGCAUUGCUUGAGUAUGGGAGAGGAAAGUGGAAUUCCCGGUGUAGAGGUGAAAUUCGUAGAGAUCGGGAGGAAUACCGGUGGCGAAGGCGACUUUCUGGACCAAUACUGACGCUGAGGCGCGAAAGCGUGGGAGCAAACAGGAUUAGAAACCCCAGUAGUCC